This 220-nucleotide ribosomal RNA is filed under the name Panax shangianus (nom. ined.). Its description in RNAcentral is "Panax shangianus 5.8S ribosomal RNA". The stretch from base 63 to 218 matches the Rfam family "5.8S ribosomal RNA". From Rfam's summary of the family: 5.8S ribosomal RNA (5.8S rRNA) is a component of the large subunit of the eukaryotic ribosome. It is transcribed by RNA polymerase I as part of the 45S precursor that also contains 18S and 28S rRNA. The record is from RNAcentral. Lineage: Eukaryota; Viridiplantae; Streptophyta; Magnoliopsida; Apiales; Araliaceae.
AACUGAACUGCACGCGUCCCCCCCGUUUGCGGGCGGCGGAAGCGUCUUUCUAAAACACAAACGACUCUCGGCAACGGAUAUCUCGGCUCUCGCAUCGAUGAAGAACGUAGCGAAAUGCGAUACUUGGUGUGAAUUGCAGAAUCCCGUGAACCAUCGAGUCUUUGAACGCAAGUUGCGCCCGAAGCCAUUAGGCCGAGGGCACGUCUGCCUGGGCGUCACG